Pimephales promelas (fathead minnow) is the source of this 576-nucleotide non-coding RNA. The record is from RefSeq and is a predicted model, not a curated record. Lineage: Eukaryota; Metazoa; Chordata; Actinopteri; Cypriniformes; Leuciscidae.
UGAGCUGAAGGAACGUCUGAAGCCGGAGCUUCUGGAACUCAUCAGACAGCAGAGACUAAACCGUCUGUGUCACGGGACGCGAGGCAAGACAAGCUGUGGUAUUGUCGUCUCUCUCCUAAUCUCAAAGUCCUGCACUACGGAGAUGUGGAUGAGGAGACGGAAACGCCCUCCAUCGAGGCUCUUCAUGAAAAGAGUAAGUGCACUCACACAUAAUGUGUUAAAUUUUAACACAUGUGCUGAAUCAGCUCAGGGACAACACAUAUUGUGUAAAAUUUGACACAUCUGUUCUAAGAGUUUGAAAACACUGCAUGAGUAUAUUGGCGUGAUUUGAUACUUUGUCAUGUCACAUAAUCAUGUUUUCAACUUACACUUGAUGUACAUAACCUUAACCUCUCAUUGUAUUUUUGGUUUAUCUUCUCCUUUUCCCCAUUAGUUCGAAAAUACAGUAUCACUAGGAUUUAACAUCAGUAUUUUGGGGGGGAAGAUAAUCAUGUUUCCAUUUGAAAGGAUUUAGCAUUUUAUCAGGGGCCAGAUUUUCGCACUUCUUUGUAUGUUAAAUUUAAAAUAGUUUUGAGA